RNAcentral lists this long non-coding RNA (1101 nucleotides) under Phasianus colchicus (ring-necked pheasant). RNAcentral's name for it is "lncRNA (ENSPCLG00000012686.1)". The record is from RNAcentral. Lineage: Eukaryota; Metazoa; Chordata; Aves; Galliformes; Phasianidae.
UGAAGCUGUACUCAUCACUGGGAGCUGGAUUUAAACUAUCAAGUUGUAGAUAUGAAAAAUUAAAGAAAACAAAAAUAAGUGAUCUUGAUCUUAUCUGUUUUCUUCCUGCUCUGCAGCCUGUGGGAAGCACACAGGCUGAACUGAACUGAAAUGUUAGGUCUUCAGAAAUAAAGGAAAUAUUACUAAUAAAAAAUGGCAAUAGGAGCAGCAUGCUUCCUCAGCAACAUCUUGCCUCUCCUAUAAAGGUGUGACUGCCUAGAAGGCUGUCUGUUACCUCCGGCAACCACCGUGUCCAAGGCCGCACCGCCAGGGGGCUAGCAAUCAGCAUUUGCUAGGGCCAUAGCAACACUGACACCAAUAUGAUGGAGAAGCAAAUGGCAAUUUAUUAAGGCACGACAACCCCUUAAAUACACAUCCCGUUUCGCCUAAGCCCCUUAAACAUGCAUCACGUGUUACUCACACCUUACUCACAGAGCGAGGGAGGUCCUAUCGUGUCACAACCUGAUACCCCGUUAUCGCUUACUACAACACAGCAGGGGGUCCUAUCGCGUCACAAUCUGAUACCUCGUUAGCACCUACUGCAACAGCUGUCAAAAUAGCCUGUGCUGUCUUACAGUGACCUGGAUACCGUUUAUGAUGAAGCUGGCCCAGCAAGAGAUCUGCACAGGACACAGCUUUUACUGCCAUCAGCUAGAUGUGUAGCACCUCUGUGAAAACUCAUUCAAGGAAUGCAGAUAAACACCAAAAAAGGAACUGCAAGACCAGGGAGUGGUAGAAUAGGCAAGGAAUCCCAAGGAACUGCACGGAUUGAGACUAAGACUGGGAAAGAAGAAGGAGAUGCAUUGGAAAACAUCCAUAGCCCCAAGACUGAAGUGAAGCAGACAACCAUUUCAGCCAAGACACUGCAGUCCUUCUGUGGAAAAAGCUCAACUCUGGAUUGCACAAGUGAUGAGGCAGCAGCAACUUGAAAAAAUGGAACAGUUGGGACUAUGUAUUCAUACCUGCAAUUGCCUCUGACAACUGGAAAACAAUGGUGAGAAUGAGGUAUAAAGCAGAUCUGGAAAAUUUUCAAGUCAGUUAGCUUACAGUAUUUUACAUAUC